This is a non-coding RNA of Schizosaccharomyces pombe (fission yeast), 642 nucleotides long. Lineage: Eukaryota; Fungi; Ascomycota; Schizosaccharomycetes; Schizosaccharomycetales; Schizosaccharomycetaceae. The record is from the annotation of a GenBank genome assembly.
AUGUAUAGUCUUUUCCCAUUGAAACACGUUCUUCUGUGGAUAUCGUCCAAACGAAAUCCCCACUUGGCUUCUGCUUCCUCGUCUUUAUAUUUGUAGCUACGAAAAUCUAAAACUUUACCUGAUUUUAUACAGUCUGUCAAGUAUUGAGAAGAGACAAGUGGUAUACCUAGAGAAGUCGCCAGUAAAAACUUAUGUGUCCUCCGAAGUGGAGGUGAACCAAGGAUGACAAAGUCGGUUUCGUCUGUGACACUUUCUUGCACCCUUAGACCAUUUCUCCUUAUAAAACUUUUCAUCGGUUUAGUUAGGUUGAAACUCGACGUUACCAGAUUUGUGUGCUUGUUUUUAUUUUCAACUGCCGAGGACUGCACAUUCUUGUCAGGUUGAUCCUCUAAAGAUGAUGAGGGGAAAGAAUAAUUAGUGGAAAUUGGUGCCUCUUCUGCUUCUCUGUUACUUUCAUCCUGGGAUGUGGAUUCCUUCUCUUUGAGAGCGAUUUCCGGCGCACUUCUUUUACUUUCUUCAUUUUCGUUGGAGGGGGUUAAAUCUGGCCUAACCUCUGGAUUUACUUCAUCACUGUGAAUGCUAUUGUUCUUUAUAGAGCUGUCCGAUAUGUUUUGCUGUGGAUUCACAUCCUUCUCAAUUGGU